UUGCUAACGCGGGGGUCCUGCGUGGCGAUCGGUCUGCCGAUUGCCGCAGCGGGUGAGAAAUACCCUUUGAACCUGAUCUGGAUAAUGCCAGCGCAGGGAAGCGUCCGGGCUUCGUCA
Molecule: regulatory RNA element, 117 nt
Organism: Burkholderia sp.
Lineage: Bacteria; Pseudomonadati; Pseudomonadota; Betaproteobacteria; Burkholderiales; Burkholderiaceae
Rfam family: TPP riboswitch aptamer (THI element)
About the family: Vitamin B(1) in its active form thiamin pyrophosphate (TPP) is an essential coenzyme that is synthesised by coupling of pyrimidine and thiazole moieties in bacteria. The previously detected thiamin-regulatory element, thi box was extended, resulting in a new, highly conserved RNA secondary structure, the THI element, which is widely distributed in eubacteria and also occurs in some archaea. Analysis of operon structures identified a large number of new candidate thiamin-regulated genes, mostly transporters, in various prokaryotic organisms.
Source: Rfam